UGAUAAUAACCAAGAGGCAAGUCCAGA
Molecule: non-coding RNA, 27 nt
Filed under: Homo sapiens (human)
Lineage: Eukaryota; Metazoa; Chordata; Mammalia; Primates; Hominidae
Source: RNAcentral